This 301-nucleotide ribosomal RNA is filed under the name uncultured bacterium. RNAcentral describes it as "partial 16S ribosomal RNA". It matches the Rfam family "Bacterial small subunit ribosomal RNA", at positions 509 to 807 of the family's 1533-position model. The record is from RNAcentral.
CAGCCGCCACGGUAAUACGGAGGGUGCAAGCGUUAAUCGGAAUUACUGGGCGUAAAGCGCACGCAGGCGGUCUGACAAGUCAGAUGUGAAAUCCCCGGGCUUAACCUGGGAACUGCAUUUGAAACUGUCAGGCUGGAGUCUUGUAGAGGGGGGUGGAAUUCCAGGUGUAGCGGUGAAAUGCGUAGAGAUCUGGAGGAAUACCGGUGGCGAAGGCGGCCCCCUGGACAAAGACUGACGCUCAGGUGCGAAAGCGUGGGGAGCAAACAGGAUUAGAUACCCCGGUAGUCCCUGUCUCUUAUAC